AGCGAACGCUGGCGGCAGGCUUAACACAUGCAAGUCGAACGGGCAUAGCAAUAUGUCAGUGGCAGACGGGUGAGUAACGCGUGGGAACGUACCUUUGGGUUCGGAACAACACAGGGAAACUUGUGCUAAUACCGGAUAAGCCCUUACGGGGAAAGAUUUAUCGCCGAAAGAUCGGCCCGCGUCUGAUUAGCUAGGUGGUAGGGUAAUGGCCUACCAAGGCGACGAUCAGUAGCUGGUCUGAGAGGAUGCUCCGCCACAUUGGGACUGAGACACGGCCCAAACUCCUACGGGAGGCAGCAGUGGGGAAUAUUGGACACUGGGCGAAAGCCUGAUCCAGCCAUGCCGCGUGAGUGAUGAAGGCCCUAGGGUUGUAAAGCUCUUUUGUGCGGGAAGAUAAUGACGGUACCGCAAGAAUAAGCCCCGGCUAACUUCGUG
Molecule: ribosomal RNA, 435 nt
Filed under: uncultured bacterium
Lineage: Bacteria
Description: partial 16S ribosomal RNA
Rfam family: Bacterial small subunit ribosomal RNA
Source: RNAcentral